RNAcentral lists this ribosomal RNA (91 nucleotides) under Paenibacillus sp. CF384. RNAcentral's name for it is "16S rRNA. Bacterial SSU". It matches the Rfam family "Bacterial small subunit ribosomal RNA", at positions 1 to 89 of the family's 1533-position model. Lineage: Bacteria; Bacillati; Bacillota; Bacilli; Caryophanales; Paenibacillaceae. The record is from RNAcentral.
CUUUUAUGGAGAGUUUGAUCCUGGCUCAGGACGAACGCUGGCGGCGUGCCUAAUACAUGCAAGUCGAGCGGGGUUAUUCCUUCGGGGAUAG